CCUACGGGAGGCAGCAGUGGGGAAUAUUGCACAAUGGGGGAAACCCUGAUGCAGCGACGCCGCGUGAGUGACGAUGUAUCUCGGUACGUAAAGCUCUAUCAGCAGGGAAGAAAAUGACGGUACCUGACUAAGAAGCCCCGGCUAACUACGUGCCAGAGGCCGCGGUAAUACGUAGGGGGCAAGCGUUAUCCGGAUUUACUGGGUGUAAAGGGAGCGUAGACGGCAGCACAGGCCUGGAGUGAAAUCCCGGGGCUUACCCCCGGAACUGCUUUGGAAACUGUGCGGCUGGAGUGCAGGAGGGGUAAGCGGAAUUGCUAGUGUAGCGGUGAAAUGCGUAGAUAUUAGGAGGAACACCGGUGGCGAAGGCGGCUUACUGGACUGUAACUGACGUUGAGGCUCGAAAGCGUGGGGAGCAAACAGGAUUAGAUACCCGAGUAGUC
RNAcentral lists this ribosomal RNA (440 nucleotides) under uncultured bacterium. Its description in RNAcentral is "partial 16S ribosomal RNA". It matches the Rfam family "Bacterial small subunit ribosomal RNA", at positions 338 to 795 of the family's 1533-position model. The record is from RNAcentral.